GCGGAGGGAUGCGGUCAUGUCGCGCAGAGAUGCGCUAGAACGGCCCGAUUAUCCCAUGAGCACGGGGCACGGAGCGGGGAUUCUCCCCCAACGACCAGCUCGUUCUUUUAUUGCUCGGCACUUGGGAACAGAAGGCAGUAAGAGACAAAGCUUUUAGCAUGUCCAGCCCAAGAGCAAUGCAGAACCUGUAUUUUGCUUUAUGUACUUAUUUUAUGGAUGUCUUUGAAAAAACCAGAAGCUCACAGAACACUGAGAGAAUCCAGACCUAUUUGGCCUCAGUCUGUACUAAAGGAAGAUGCUGCCUGCUAUUUCACCCCACAGUUUCUUAAAAACAAACAAACAAACAAACAAACCAAAAACAAACCAACAAACCAAAACCCAACGCUGGUUUGAAUAAGUGGUUAAAUACAGAGUUUGGAGCUGGCCCAUACUACAAUAUAUUGCAUUACCUCAUCAAUAAAUCCCUGUCUGCUCUAGACGGAAAAUGGACAGACAUCUGCUGCCAACAAGGAAGACACAAGCAACAGAAACAUUGUGUACUGUGUCAUUGCUAAUGCAAUGCACAGGAACAGAAUCAGUCAUCAAAAAGGUUAAGUGAGUUUUCCAAACUGUAAUCACAUAUUUCAGAAAUUUCUGAUCCUGUUAAAGUCCAUAAUGUUUCAGCCUUCCCAUAGCUAAAAGGAAAGGAUGUCAUUUGCUAAUAAACAAAAUAUUUGAAUUAGUGAAGAAUGUGAAGAACUCGUGACUGUUCUAAAAGGUAAAAAUACUUGGCCAAUAGUGUCACUGGGGGUUUUUUGUUGUUUCUUUUUAAAAAUUACCUCAGCCAGGAAAGUGAGUCACCGCCCAGUCCCACUUCUUGGGUAUCACCUGAAAAUUUAGCUUCCAGCUGUAAAGUUUCAAGAGAGGUAUAAAACACACCCCGAAAUAACUCAAAACAGAAAACCUAACCCCAAACCCACAGCCUGACAGCUUCCUCAGGAUGGCAAACAUCAUGGAAACCAAAAUAGAAGUUUUUAUGCCCAGAACUGCAGCUGCAACUUAAAAGGAAAGAAGUUGGCUUGAAAAACACUACUGCAGUCCACGAAGGCCAGGCUGACUGCACAUUAGAUGGGGUUUAGGGAAGAAUGACUUUGACUCUGCUCUGACUUGCAUCAGCAACCAGCUUCAGCAUCACAUCAGCUCCUGGAUGCAAGGAGCCCAACCGGCUGCUCUGAUCCAAACCAGUGACUGAAUCCAGCCUGUGAAAUCUCCGGGCAAACAUGCAACAAAAACUUAUUUCAUGAAGUUUAGUGCCUCCACUUUCCACUCUACAUGUGAGCAUAUUGCACAGUGUAAAUUCAUCCUAUAAGGGUUAGAAAGUGCUGAGGCUUUGGGGCUUGACAGGUCCUGGGGAGAGCAUGCCAAAGCCCAGCUCCCAAACUAGGUUGUGACUUCUUAUCAAUGGCAGAGCCACUGCACAAGCAAUGUCUGUUUUUGGGAGGGAAAAGAAAAGCCUCUUCUCCUUGCUUCUGGCAUCUGUGCUGCUGGGAUAGAAAAGCAGCACCUGCAGAUGUGCAGGUGACGGAUUUGUGCUGCAGAGGUAGACGCCUGAAAGCCACCAGCCCAUGGGUCUUCAGAACUCCACUUACUCACUUUUCUUUUCUCAGAUAAGCGUAAAGAGCAGCUUACAGGGCUAACAGGUAUAACUGUUCCCUCUCAGAGGGAAAGGACAUUCCUACCCACUGUCAUCAGGUAGCACAGGCCCUCAGUGGCUCCACCGCCAGAAGUUCGGUGCACACGCACAGUGCACGUGAAAUACCCAUCUUCCACAUUUGCAAAGGAUCAGCGAUAGCCAGUUUUUCCAGAGCUUUAAGAGCUCUCUGAAUACUCCAAAUCCAGUCCUGUUGGUCCAACCUGAAAUUACACUCAAACCCAAAAUAGCACCUCGGCAGUGCCAGCACCACUCAUCUGUGCGUCAUGCCCCGAGACUCACCACGCCGGGGUGUGGCGAUGGCAGCAAACGCACAGUUCCCCGGGCACUCCCAGCCCACUUCCUCAAACAUGCCUAGUCACACACACCACUCCCCACAGUAUUCCAAAAUAGGAAUUUUUUUGGUAGAGCCAGUAUACCACUGUAUUUUCCUCUUCCUUCCUCUUCAAGGAAGCCUUUUAGGGAAGAAGAAGGUGCCUGAGGUGCUCAGGUGACAUGUCCGCUCCCCUGCACGGAAGGAACGUUGCCAUGUAGGUUUAUGCACAAGGAGAACUUCCAGCACUGACAGGAUUCCUUCAGCACAUCAUUGCGCAAGUGGACACAUCUCCUCCCCAGUUCCAGCUGCCAAGUUUCACUGGGAGGCCACUAACACAUAUUUGCCCUCCAGAAGUUACUCAAUGAUGGCUGUGGGAGCAGCAGCUGCUGCCUUCCAGGUGACAAGAGAGAAGAGAGGGUAAAUCCAGGAAUCACCUUGUCCCUCUCCUUUUACCACUAGCCCUCAAGAACUGACCCUCUGGCAAAGUUCUGGGGGAGGAAGGGAGCUCAUCCAAUGUGCUGGCCUUUGGCUACAUUAUGCUGUGCAGGCCCACUGCUCCCUGCAGUGAGUCCCACUGCCCAGGUGAGGAAAACCACCUGCUUCUGGACACCAGGUUUUCCUGCCCACUCCAGAAGUAGUAGUUUCCACACCUAGUUAGCAAUGCCAAGAGAUGUCAUGCUAAUAUUGGAAGCUAUUCAAGAUAGCUGAUGAACCCAUGGCAAUGAGCAUGCUACAUCAGUCCUAGUGAUUUUUUGGAUGGGUUUUACCUGUGGGCACUUCUAGCUUCUGCCUAAAAUAGCUGUUUGCUGGGGUACAGCCAGCUCUACUGUCAACCAGCCAAGGGGGUGUAAGACGUGUUGGUCCCCUCCAGCAUCUCAAUGGUAGAGCAAUCUCUAUGGCCAGGGGGCUGGGCCACAGCAGCCUCAGGAGAUCCCAGAGCUAACAGAGUAUCAGCAGACCUCAGUAGGCCUCCAAGAGCAGCAAAGGUGGCUCAGCUUCCUGCCUCUGCCUGCUCUGGUGCUGCACAUUGAACGUUUUCAGGAGCAUUCCCUCUCCUUAAAAAAAAAAAAAAAAAAAAGAGUGGGGAGAAGCACUAAAGAACGAAGAGCUGAAAUAGAAAUCAGCUAACCUAAAUAGUCUACUUCACUAGAAAAAACCCACCAUGCUUUAUGAGCCAGGGCUUUAGAGAGCAAAUCUGAGUGCCCAGCCACCAUCCCAUUUUGGAUCAAUGACAUUUACUAUGCACCAGAUGCUCCCCUCCUCCAGUUCUGUCCACAUUCUCUUUAAAAGAUAAGGAUUUUAAUGACAUUAUGCACAGACAGAUAGAAGCACUCUCCCCUGUGCUUUUCGAUACAAAUUGAAAGUUUAUGCACUUCUUGCUUUCACCCUCAGUUGCAACCAAUGUCAGCAUACAUUCCAUCAAUGUAAACAGCUGUGCAAAGAUGUGACAACUGAGGAGCAAGCAUUUGACCUUAACUCCUCGGUUUAUCAGUCUUUCUAAAGAAAAAACAGAUCCAUCUUUGCUAGAUUUCCCCCCUAAAAGCUUCCUGAGCUGCUCUGUCAGCGAGCCUGUCAUCUGGAAGAAAGCAAGACAUUAGUCAGGCUCAUGCUUAUUUAAUAAAAACCUUGCAUAUGCAGGAGGGACUGAAAGUUAGUCUUUAUUUAAAAAACGCCUGCAAACUACAGUAUGAUUUUCCAGUGCAAAACAGAUCUGAGGGCUUACCCAAUUUAUACCCUGUGCUCCACCAGCGUUCAGCUUAGCAAUUAACCAGCUAGUUAUUCACAGCUUAGAUUAGGGAGCCAUGCAGUCACCAAAGAAGUCCACAAAUAUGCCCAGAACACUGUGCAAAGGAUAUUUCAUGUCUUGCUAUUUCAUAAGGAAAUCGGAGGCUUCAACUGAUGUCAGCUCCAGGAAAUGAGCCACAGGCAGAUGAUGCCGGAAGCAGGCUUUAUAUUUAGUACUGAGUCACCCACUUUAUUAAAUUCAAAAGACAAAAAAGGUGGGUGUGGAGAAGGGAUACGUGGAAAAAAAAUGAACAAGUUAUUCCCUUGAGACCAUGGGCCCUGGAGAGUCUAGUGUUGGGUGGGGUUUUUUAGUAAAGGGAGAGAGAAACUAAAGAUGACAUGGGAACCCUUUCUGCUCUUUGACUGGAAAAGCAGUUGCCAGAUGUGCUACACUUCCCUGGGCAGAAGCCAGCACAUUGCAGGGGUGUGCAGUGCCUUUGGGAUUUGCUCUGGCCAGUCCUGCAGGCAGGUCUCAGGCUUGAGCAGGCCACCACCAGUUCUGAGGCACUUUCCCAUCCUUUCUGCUACAUCUCCUCUGAGCCAAAGGAUAAGACACUGGAGGAGCUCAGAAUAGAGAAUAGUUCUUUGGUUUUUGAUGCUUCUUAAAACCUUUUUUUUUUUCCUGCAUGUCAAAAGACCUUAGUACAAUCUUAACUGCAAAUUGUAGCACAAUGUAAAUGACAGAGUACAGAUUUGUUCAGAAGAGGUUUGUAUUUUCAUGCAAGUCUGUCACAAGCCUUUUAAUUUUCUGUCAGUGAUUAAUUCUCUAUAGCCUGAGCAGCAGCAACAGCUUUGCAAAGUUUGCAGCUACUUAAGCCAGACUUUUCCCCUGAGAAGACUCACUUUCUAAAUAUUAAAACUUAAAUACUGUUGCCAAAGCCAAGCACUGCACCUCACAUUGACUCAAAAACUCAACUUCAAGAGCUCUCUCUAAUGCCAAACAUCACCAAUGACUUGCCUACAGAAGCACCCUAUUAAAUUACUAAUAAAA
Long non-coding RNA from Pseudopipra pipra, 4782 nucleotides. RefSeq lists it as uncharacterized. The transcript is spliced from 2 exons. NCBI's taxonomy places the organism in Eukaryota, Metazoa, Chordata, Aves, Passeriformes, Pipridae. The record is from RefSeq and is a predicted model, not a curated record.